RNAcentral lists this ribosomal RNA (293 nucleotides) under uncultured bacterium. RNAcentral describes it as "partial 16S ribosomal RNA". It matches the Rfam family "Bacterial small subunit ribosomal RNA", at positions 200 to 513 of the family's 1533-position model. The record is from RNAcentral.
CACAAAGAUUUAUCGCCGAAGGAUCGGCCCGCGUCCGAUUAGCUAGUUGGUGAGGUAAUGGCUCACCAAGGCGACGAUCGGUAGCUGGUCUGAGAGGAUGAUCAGCCACAUUGGGACUGAGACACGGCCCAAACUCCUACGGGAGGCAGCAGUGGGGAAUAUUGGACAAUGGGCGCAAGCCUGAUCCAGCCAUGCCGCGUGAGUGAUGAAGGCCUUAGGGUUGUAAAGCUCUUUCGCCAGGGACGAUAAUGACGGUACCUGGAUAAGAAGCCCCGGCUAACUUCGUGCCAGCA